UCAUCAUUAUUGUCAUCCUCUUCUUCAUCAUCCACCCAAGAAGCUCCAUAAUCCUCGUCUUGAACAGCCUCUCUAGUAAACCAAGAAACAGCGUGUGGUAUAAUCUUAUCCCUGAGAGUAGAUCUGGCAACAUGGGCAAGCUAAUUUAUAACCAGAAUAAUUACUUGUUCAACUUACGGUAUUUUCAUCUAUUUUUGCAUCAUCAUCUGGAACUUGAGGGGGGCUAAAGAAAUUAAAGAAGCUCUCACAUUCUUCAGUCUUUGUUAUAGGUUUAGUGCUCUCUGAACUCUCCUUUAGAUUUUUUUCAUCCUAACAAAUACACAAAUUUGCAGGAACAAAAUGAUAUAUACCCAAUUGCUUUCUCUAGGAUGGGUUCAUCAUCUUCAUCGAUCAUGUGGUAUGUUUUAGUCAGCACUUGAUUUUUAAAGAAGGGAUUUGUAUAGAAGAAGAAUUCGAACUUAAAACCCUUUGGAUCAUCAAUUCUACACCAUUUGAUGUCCUUAAGGUACUUUAGAGCUUCCUCAUCGCUCUCAUGGAUCUGUCACUAGAACAGCACAUCAUAUUGAAAACUCAUAAACAUAAUUCAAGAUAUGUUUCUUAGAGGAGAGUUGCCUGUACAUAAAACAUGCAUCUCUUUUUGAAAAGAAAGAUAGGUGAGGUAAGGCCAGAUUGCAUUACAUUGCAACAAAAAGUAUGUGUUACCUUUGAGUACAAUGGUCCAUAAAGCUUCUGAUAUUUAGCUUCUAGAGCAGCUUUUUCCUCGAAGAACUUCACUUCUAGUUCAUCAUGUUGGCUCUGAAACAUUUAACAUCACAUCGACGCGCUUCCUGACCGAGGGUGCCAGGCUCUCGAGCACGUCAACAUGUUGCUCCGCCAACGCCUGCAGCUUGUUCU
This 894-nucleotide small RNA is filed under the name Oryza sativa Japonica Group (Japanese rice). RNAcentral's name for it is "sRNA Os06g0611725". The record is from RNAcentral. Lineage: Eukaryota; Viridiplantae; Streptophyta; Magnoliopsida; Poales; Poaceae.